CGGCGAAGGGUGAGUAACACGUGACCAACGUACCCCUCAGAUCGGGAUAACCACUGGAAACGGUGGAUAAUACUGAAUGGUCCUAGGAAGGACAUCCUUCCGAAGGUAAACGGCGGCUUCGGCUGCUGUUGAGGGAGCGGGUUGCGUCCUAUCAGCUUGUUGGUGAGGUAACGGCUCACCAAGGCUAUGACGGGUAGCGGGUCUGAGAGGAUGAUCCGCCACACUGGGACUGAGACACUGCCCAGACUCCUACGGGAGGCUGCAGUCGAGAAUCUUCCACAAUGGGCGAAAGCCUGAUGGAGCGACGCUGCGUGUAGGAUGAAGGCCUUAGGGUUGUAAACUACUGUCACGCUAUAGGAACCCAUGUAGGUUAAUAGCCUGCGCGCUGACCAAAGCGAGAGGAAGUGCCGGCUAACUCCGUGCCAGCAGCCGCGGUAAGACGGAGGGCGCAAGCGUUGUUCGGAAUCACUGGGCAUAAAGGGCGCGUAGGCGGCCAGUUCAGUCGGAUGUGAAAUCCCCCGGCCCAACCGGGGAACUGCAUUCGAUACUGACUGGCUAGAGGAUGGUAGGAGCCAAUGGAACUCCAGGUGGAACGGUGAAAUGUGUAGAUAUCUGGAGGAACACCGGUGGCGAAAGCGAUUGGCUGGGCCAUUUCUGACGCUGAGGCGCGAAAGCUAGGGGAGCGAACGGGAUUAGAUACCCCGGUAGUCCUAGCCGUAAA
Molecule: ribosomal RNA, 721 nt
Filed under: uncultured Planctomycetota bacterium
Lineage: Bacteria; Pseudomonadati; Planctomycetota
Description: bacterial SSU rRNA
Rfam family: Bacterial small subunit ribosomal RNA
Source: RNAcentral